Non-coding RNA from Camellia sinensis, 494 nucleotides. Lineage: Eukaryota; Viridiplantae; Streptophyta; Magnoliopsida; Ericales; Theaceae. The record is from RefSeq and is a predicted model, not a curated record.
GCAGACAAUGGAAAGGGACAGAUCUCAAGAGACUGGUAUUUUUAAGAAGAAGCCAGCUGAUUUGAUGCAAAUCUUCAAGGAUGUACAAUCUAAAGUAAGUGCUGUUGUACUUGGAAAGGAAAAACCAGUUGAAGAAUCGAAUCCUGAAUAUGAGAAACUGAAACAUUAUAUCUUUGAGCUUGAAGAUCACUUAGCUGAAGCUUAGAAGCAUGCAUAUCGCCUAGUAAAGAGACACAGAGAAUUGGGGCAAUCCCUGUCAGAUUUUGGGAAGGCAGUCAAACUUCUUGGCACUUGUGAAGGAGAUGCUCUUGGAAAGGUAUUCUCUGAGCUUGGGGCAAAAUCAGAGAUUUUGUCAAUUAAGCUGCAGAAGGAGGUAAGCCUCAUCAAUGGAUCAUCCCUUGACAUUAAAUUGACAUGCUGUUUGGAAUUUUUCUUCUAACAGAUUUGGAUUUACAUGUUGUUUUACCUAACUGAAACUAAAUUGACAUGCUGUU